UUUGAUGGCGACCGGCGCACGGGUGAGUAACACGUAUCCAACCUGCCGAUGACUCGGGGAUAGCCUUUCGAAAGAAAGAUUAAUACCCGAUGGCAUAGUUCUUCCGCAUGGUAGAACUNUUAAAGAAUUUCGGUCAUCGAUGGGGAUGCGUUCCAUUAGCUUGUUGGCGGGGUAACGGCCCACCGGGGCGACGAUCAGUAGGGGUUCUGAGAGGAAGGUCCCCCACAUUGGAACUGAGACACGGUCCAAACUCCUACGGGAGGCAGCAG
This 269-nucleotide ribosomal RNA is filed under the name uncultured bacterium. RNAcentral's name for it is "partial 16S ribosomal RNA". It matches the Rfam family "Bacterial small subunit ribosomal RNA", at positions 84 to 354 of the family's 1533-position model. The record is from RNAcentral.